CCUACGGGAGGCAGCAGUGGGGAAUAUUGCGCAAUGGGCGAAAGCCUGACGCAGCGACGCCGCGUGAGGGAUGAAGGUCUUCGGAUCGUAAACCUCUGUCAGCAGGGAAGAACGGUCACUGUGCUAAUCAGCAGUGAAUUGACGGUACCUGCAAAGGAAGCACCGGCUAACUCCGUGCCAGCAGCCGCGGUAAUACGGAGGGUGCGAGCGUUAAUCGGAAUUACUGGGCGUAAAGCGCUCGUAGGCGGUCUGUCAAGUCAAGGGUGAAAUCCCCGGGCUCAACGUGGGAACUGCCUUUGAAACUGGCAAACUGGAGUGUGUGAGAGGAUAGUGGAAUUCCAGGUGUAGGGGUGAAAUGCGUAGAGAUCUGGAGGAACAUCAGUGGCGAAGGCGACUAUCUGGCACAUAACUGACGCUGAGGAGCGAAAGCGUGGGUAGCAAACAGGAUUAGAUACCCUGGUAGUC
This 465-nucleotide ribosomal RNA is filed under the name uncultured bacterium. RNAcentral describes it as "partial 16S ribosomal RNA". It matches the Rfam family "Bacterial small subunit ribosomal RNA", at positions 338 to 795 of the family's 1533-position model. The record is from RNAcentral.